This 1557-nucleotide long non-coding RNA is filed under the name Mus musculus (house mouse). RNAcentral's name for it is "long non-coding RNA chr12:117031430-117032987". Lineage: Eukaryota; Metazoa; Chordata; Mammalia; Rodentia; Muridae. The record is from RNAcentral.
GGAGAAACAACAGAAAUUCUAUUUGACGAUGCCAAAAUAAAUCCCAAUUCUUUAUAAGCCGAUAACAUUUUUAAAUGAUAAUUAAUUGAAAUUAUGUGUUUCUGUGAUUUACUUUAAACUAUUAGAAGUCUGUGAGUAAAGUAUUUUAGUAUCUUUCUCAUUCUUACCAAAGACAGGUAUAAGUGGUGACAGUUUCAGCCCUGUAUCUAGAAGGUGGCCUAAGCAGCAGAUACUCACCCUUGCCUAAGUCUAGAGGCUGAAAUCUAAUAUUGAGGUACAUACAGAGGUUCCUAUAAGUUCCCUGAGGCCUCUCUCCUUGCUCAUAGAUGACAUUGUCCCCAUGUCCUCUAAUGGCAAUCACUUUAUAAGAGUCCUAAUCCCUUCUUUUAAGAGCUCACCCCAUUUUACCAUAAUGCCCUCUAGAAGACCUUCUCUACAAAAUACAGCUACACUCUGAGAUGCUUUCCCGUCAGAGAUUCACAAGCAGGUUUUGGAGGAACAUAAUUCAGUCAUCAUACUGGCCACGGUCACUGGUAACCUAGUACUGUCUUUUAUCUACUACUUCAUAGCCAUGAAUCGGUAACAGUAAGAGAAAAGCUGUAUCACAAUGCCACCAGGUGAGGUGUGGCUCCUAGUGACAUUGUAUUGCUGUAAAGAGUACCUUCCAUGAGCAGGGACAGGUAGGACUACGUGAAUAGGUCCCUCCUUGGUCAACCUUUAGUGGAGACAUGUGACAGUAUCCCUGCCUCUCGCACCUGAAGCAGUCAGCUUGCCCUGGUAGAGACAUAAAGGCUCUACAAAUUGUGUUGAGAUUUUACUUUUUGGAGCAACGGUUGUCUGUUCCUUUCAGUUUAUUGGAGGCCUUUUCAUUUGGGUGUUGCAGGUAGAGUAAUGAAUUUACUUGAAAAAUGUCAGCAGUGCUUAUGAGGCCACGUUCUGCAGCAACAUUAUUAAGCUGCUAAUUUCCAGAUCUUCCCUAAGUGAAUGCAAACAAAUUCUGGUCCUCAAAGCCCUGCUAAUAUACAAUGUUCAAUUUUUAAUUUCCAGUCCAUCUUAGAUUAUGGGAGUGAAAAACAAUAUUUAAUCCCUCGUUAACACAUGAAUGAGCGGAAGCUGUCACUUUCAACCAGACAAUACCAGGGGUUAUCUCAAGAACUGUCAGUUUAUGUGAAAACAUUAUGUUGCCCAAAUUUUCAUAAAAAUUAGUAAUGGAUAAUAUUCAAGAUCAGAGCAAUAGAAAGAGAAAAAUCUGCAUUCAUGGUAAUAAAUAUUCAUAUUUGUCUGCUUGAGAGAUGAAAAUCUAAUCAAGGGGCUAUUGAUGCACUGUUAUUUUUUUUUUCAACCAAGACGUUUCAUCUAAAUUGGGUUUGAUAUGGAAAUCAGUUUUAGUCAAAGUCCUCCAGCCUUAGCCCAUGGGCUGCCCAGGCGAUAUCCUGUAUGGAUCCAGCCCUGGUGCAUACACUGAACCACAAUUAGGGUGACAAUACCCUCUCUGCAUGCGAGCCCCCAGAGGUUCAUCUGAUGGAGUCUUUUGGAGCCUCCUCCCCACUGUAAAGG